CAGUCGAACGGAUAUCUUCGGAUAUGAGUGGCGAACGGGUGAGUAACACGUACGGAACCUGCCUGCAUGAGCGGGAGAACUUCUGGAAACGGAAGCUGAUACCGGAUGAGCAAAGAGGAGGCAUCUUCUUUUUGGAAAAGGGGACAAGAGUCCCGCAUGCAGAUGGACCUGCGGUGCAUUAGCUGGUUGGAGAGGUAACGGCUCACCAAGGCGACGAUGCAUAGCCGGCCUGAGAGGGCGGACGGCCACACUGGGACUGAGACACGGCCCAGACUCCUGCGGGAGGCAGCAGUAGGGAAUUUUCGUCAAUGGGGGGAACCCUGAACGAGCAAUGCCGCGUGAGCGAGGAAGGUCUUCGGAUCGUAAAGCUCUGUUGCCGGGGACAAAAGGCAGAAAGAGUGGAAAGCUUUCUGAGUGAUGGUACCCGGCGAGGAAGUCACGGCUAACUACGUGCCAGCAGCCGCGGUAAUACGUAGGUGGCGAGCGUUAUCCGGAAUGAUUGGGCGUAAAGGGUGCGCAGGCGGCCGGGCAAGUCCGCAGUAAAAACUGGAGGCUCAACCUUCAGGGGCUGCGGAAACUGUCCGGCUGGAGAGCAGGAGAGGACGGUGGAACUCCAUGUGUAGCGGUAAAAUGCGUAGAUAUAUGGAAGAACACCGGUGGCGAAGGCGGCCGUCUGGCCUGCAUCUGACGCUGAGGCA
This 698-nucleotide ribosomal RNA is filed under the name uncultured bacterium. RNAcentral describes it as "bacterial SSU rRNA". It matches the Rfam family "Bacterial small subunit ribosomal RNA", at positions 59 to 753 of the family's 1533-position model. The record is from RNAcentral.